This 274-nucleotide ribosomal RNA is filed under the name uncultured bacterium. Its description in RNAcentral is "partial 16S ribosomal RNA". It matches the Rfam family "Bacterial small subunit ribosomal RNA", at positions 523 to 796 of the family's 1533-position model. The record is from RNAcentral.
AUACGGAGGGUGCAAGCGUUAAUCGGAAUUACUGGGCGUAAAGCGUACGUAGGCGGUUUAUUAAGUCAGAUGAGAAAGCCCCGGGCUUAACCUGGGAACUGCAUUUGAAACUAGUAGACUAGAGUAUGGUAGAGGGGGGUAGAAUUCCUAGUGUAGCGGUGAAAUGCGUAGAUAUUAGGAGGAAUACCAGUGGCGAAGGCGGCCCCCUGGACCAAUACUGACGCUGAGGUACGAAAGCGUGGGGAGCGAACAGGAUUAGAAACCCGUGUAGUCC